GUGAGGAAUAUUGGUCAAUGGGCGCAAGCCUGAACCAGCCAUCCCGCGUGCAGGAAGACGGCGCUAUGCGUUGUAAACUGCUUUUCCAGGGAGAGAAACUUGCGCACGUGUUGCGCAAUUGACGGUACCCUGGGAAUAAGCAUCGGCUAACUCCGUGCCAGCAGCCGCGGUAAUACGGAGGAUGCGAGCGUUAUCCGGAUUCAUUGGGUUUAAAGGGUGCGUAGGCGGACUAUUAAGUCAGUGGUGAAAUCCUGCAGCUUAACUGCAGAACUGCCAUUGAUACUGAUAGCCUUGAGUUUGGUUAAGGUAGGCGGAAUGUGUAAUGUAGCGGUGAAAUGCUUAGAUAUUACACAGAACACCAAUUGCGUAGGCAGCUUACUGAGCCGACACUGACGCUGAGGCACGAAAGCGUGGGGAUCGAACAGGAUUAGAAACCCCGGUAGUCC
This 446-nucleotide ribosomal RNA is filed under the name uncultured bacterium. RNAcentral describes it as "partial 16S ribosomal RNA". It matches the Rfam family "Bacterial small subunit ribosomal RNA", at positions 354 to 796 of the family's 1533-position model. The record is from RNAcentral.